CCUACGGGAGGCAGCAGUAGGGAAUCUUCGGCAAUGGGGGCAACCCUGACCGAGCAACGCCGCGUGAGUGAAGAAGGUUUUCGGAUCGUAAAGCUCUGUUGUAAGAGAAGAACGAGUGUGAGAGUGGAAAGUUCACACUGUGACGGUAACUUACCAGAAAGGGACGGCUAACUACGUGCCAGCAGCCGCGGUGC
RNAcentral lists this ribosomal RNA (194 nucleotides) under uncultured bacterium. Its description in RNAcentral is "partial 16S ribosomal RNA". It matches the Rfam family "Bacterial small subunit ribosomal RNA", at positions 338 to 523 of the family's 1533-position model. The record is from RNAcentral.